GCCUGGGUGGCUCAGUCGGUUAAGCAAUCUGACUCUGGCUCAGGUCAUGACCUCACAAUUCGUGGGUUCAAGCCCCACAUCAGGCU
RNAcentral lists this transfer RNA (86 nucleotides) under Felis catus (domestic cat). It matches the Rfam family "tRNA". From Rfam's summary of the family: Transfer RNA (tRNA) molecules are approximately 80 nucleotides in length. Their secondary structure includes four short double-helical elements and three loops (D, anti-codon, and T loops). Lineage: Eukaryota; Metazoa; Chordata; Mammalia; Carnivora; Felidae. The record is from Rfam by way of RNAcentral. RNAcentral also lists the same sequence under 3 other names.